RNAcentral lists this ribosomal RNA (368 nucleotides) under Staphylococcus epidermidis NIHLM023. RNAcentral's name for it is "bacterial SSU rRNA". It matches the Rfam family "Bacterial small subunit ribosomal RNA", at positions 1 to 359 of the family's 1533-position model. Lineage: Bacteria; Bacillati; Bacillota; Bacilli; Caryophanales; Staphylococcaceae. The record is from RNAcentral.
UUUUUAUGGAGAGUUUGAUCCUGGCUCAGGAUGAACGCUGGCGGCGUGCCUAAUACAUGCAAGUCGAGCGAACAGACGAGGAGCUUGCUCCUCUGACGUUAGCGGCGGACGGGUGAGUAACACGUGGAUAACCUACCUAUAAGACUGGGAUAACUUCGGGAAACCGGAGCUAAUACCGGAUAAUAUAUUGAACCGCAUGGUUCAAUAGUGAAAGACGGUUUUGCUGUCACUUAUAGUUGGAUCCGCGCCGCAUUAGCUAGUUGGUAAGGUAACGGCUUACCAAGGCAACGAUGCGUAGCCGACUGAGAGGGUGAUCGGCCACACUGGAACUGAGACACGGUCCAGACUCUACGGGAGCAGCAGUAGGG